RNAcentral lists this ribosomal RNA (460 nucleotides) under uncultured bacterium. Its description in RNAcentral is "partial 16S ribosomal RNA". It matches the Rfam family "Bacterial small subunit ribosomal RNA", at positions 338 to 795 of the family's 1533-position model. The record is from RNAcentral.
CCUACGGGAGGCAGCAGUGAGGAAUAUUGGUCAAUGGGCGAGAGCCUGAACCAGCCAAGUAGCGUGAAGGAUGACUGCCCUACGGGUUGUAAACUUCUUUUAUAAAGGAAUAAAGUGAGGCACGUGUGCCUUUAUGUAUGUAUUUUAUGAAUACUGAUCGGCUAACUCCGUGCCAGCAGCCGCGGUAAUACGGAGGAUCCGAGCGUUAUCCGGAUUUAUUGGGUUUAAAGGGAGCGUAGAUGGGUUGUUAAGUCAGUUGUGAAAGUUUGCUGCUCAACCGUAAAAUUGCAAUUGAUACUGGCAGCCUUGAGUACAGUUGAGGUAGGCGGAAUGCGUGGUGUAGCGGUGAAAUGCUUAGAUAUCACGAAGAACUCCGAUUGCGAAGGCAGCCUACUAAACUGCCACUGACAUUGAUGCUCGAAAGUGUGGGUAUCAAACAGGAUUAGAUACCCUAGUAGUC